UUGAAGGACUUGGAGAGAGAGUCAUAUAGUUCACAAAACUUACCUUUAUAGUAAGGAUAAGGUUUAUUCUUAUUUUUAUGUAGAAGUUAAUUAUUUGAUGGUAUAUUUUACACACUCCAAACCAGUUAUAAUGACUUUUUCAUUUAAAUAUCAUCUACUUAUUUCAGUAUCAUUUUUGUGGGUUGUGGUGCUUGAUUUUGUGGCAUCUGAUCCCUCCAGAACUCUGUGGGGUCCCAUUCUUUUUGAAUAGCAGGAGUUUAAGAUGAAGAUAAAUUUAGUUUUGAUUUGGGAACUUUGUGAAUAUGUUCUGAAAUAGAAGGCAGUAUCCUAAGGCAUCACAGAGUUAUGGUUCAGUUUUGCUAUUCAGCACGGGUGUCUUAACCAACUGAAAUUUAUUUCUCACAGCACAGUUCUAGAAGUCCAAGAUCAAGGUGUCAGCAGAUUCGGUGUGUGGACAGGCUGAGCCCACUAGACCAGCAAGUUGCCUGGCUGGAAGAUGCAAGUUUCUCCCUGGUGUUUAUCAACAGAUGACUUCUGAUGGAAUGAAUCCUAGGAGAAAUAGAAGAGAUAUUAAAAACUCUUUAAAUGAGACUAAAAGAACAUCUCUGAAAGCAUUUUCUGUACAAAUAUAAUGUUUCAUGUUCAUACAGAAUUUAAGAUUAAUAAAGGAUCUUAAUCGUGUCUGUGCUUCUACCAUACUGCAUAUUGUUUGGUGAGCCUUAGUCUACUUUUAAGACCUCUAUUGAAAAUAGUUAAGCAUAGAAGAAAACCGAUUCAUUACUUUUGGCUUUCCUCUUUAAAAGAGAAGUUUGGGUGGAGGGAAAAAAAAAGUCAUAUUACCUUAGAAUAAAGGUCA
Long non-coding RNA from Bubalus bubalis (water buffalo), 856 nucleotides. RefSeq lists it as uncharacterized. Lineage: Eukaryota; Metazoa; Chordata; Mammalia; Artiodactyla; Bovidae. The record is from RefSeq and is a predicted model, not a curated record. The transcript has 3 exons.